UCCGAGUUGACCCCGGCAGUCUUCGAUGAGUCCCCGCCAUAACGCGCUGGCAACAUCGAACGAGGGUUGCGCUCGUUGCGGGACUUAACCCAACAUCUCACGACACGAGCUGACGACAGCCAUGCAGCACCUGUCUCCAGGUUCCCGAAGGCACCCCACUGUUUCCAGCGGGUCCCAGGGAUGUCAAGCCUCGGUAAGGUUCUACGCGUAGCGUCAUAUUAAACCACAUCCUCCUCUGCUUGUGCGGGUCCCCGUCAAUUCCUUUGAGUUUUAGCCUUGCGGCCGUACUUCCCAGGCGGCAUACUUAUCGCGUUAGCUGCGUCGCACAGGGGGUCGAUACCCCCGGCACCUAGCACCCAUCGUUUACGGCGUGGACUAC
Molecule: unclassified non-coding RNA, 379 nt
Filed under: uncultured bacterium
Lineage: Bacteria
Description: contains 16S-23S intergenic spacer region
Source: RNAcentral